GACGAACGCUAGCGGCAGGCCUAAUACAUGCAAGUCGAACGGUAAGGUCCCUUCGGGGAAACACGAGUGGCGGACGGGUGCGUAACGCGUAUGCGACCUACCCUGAAGUGGGGGAUAGCCAGUGGAAACGCUGAAUAAUCCCGCAUGUGAUCCCGGUAACGCCUGUUAUUAAGUAUAAAGCUCCGGCGCUCAGGGAUGGGUAUGCGUGACAUUAGUUAGAUGGCGAGGUAACGGCUCACCAUGACAAUGAUGUCUAGCUGGUCUGAGAGGAUGAUCAGCCACACGGGCACUGAGACACGGGCCCGACUCCUACGGGAGGCAGCAGUAAGGAAUAUUGGUCAAUGGGGGCAACCCUGAACCAGCCAUGCCGCGUGCAGGAAGAAGGCCCUCUGGGUCGUAAACUGCUUUUAACAGGGGAUAAAGGGGUGUUAUAUACACCUUUGCAGGUACCUGGGGAAUAAGCACCGGCUAACUACGUGCCAGCAGCCGCGGUAAUACGUAGGGUGCAAGCGUUGUCCGGAUUUAUUGGGUUUAAAGGGUGCGCAGGCGGUUUAUUAAGUUAGUGGUGAAAUCGUCCCGCUUAACGGGAUACCCGCCAUUGAUACUGGUAGACUUGAGUGUGUCUGAGGGAGUUGGAAUGCGUGGUGUAGCGGUGAAAUGCAUAGAUAUCACGCAGAACACCAAUUGCGAAGGCAGACUUCUAGGACACAACUGACGCUGAGGCACGAAAGCGUGGGGAGCGAACAGGAUUAGAUACCCUGGUAGUCCACGCUGUAAACGAUGGUUACUAGGUGUUCGGCUCAAUAUGAGUUGAGUGCCUAAGCGAAAGCGAUAAGUAUCCCACCUGGGGAGUACGUCCGCAAGGAUGAAACUCAAAGGAAUUGACGGGGGCCCGCACAAGCGGUGGAGCAUGUGGUUUAAUUCGAUGAUACGCGAGGAACCUUACCUGGGCUAGAAUGCCUCUGCACAUUCCUGAAAGGGGAUUUUCCUACGGGACAGAGUGCAAGGUGCUGCAUGGUUGUCGUCAGCUCGUGCCGUGAGGUGUUGGGUUAAGUCCCGCAACGAGCGCAACCCCUAUUGUUAGUUGCCAGCACGUAAUGGUGGGGACUCUAACAAGACUGCCUCCGCAAGGAGUGAGGAAGGCGGGGACGACGUCAAAUCAUCAUGGCCCUUACGUCCAGGGCGACACACGUGCUACAAUGGUCAGUACAGCGGGUAGCGAACUUGCGAAAGUGAGCCAAUCCCAAAAAGCUGAUCUCAGUUCGGAUUGGAGUCUGCAACUCGACUCCAUGAAGUUGGAAUCGCUAGUAAUCGCGGAUCAGCCAUGCCGCGGUGAAUACGUUCCCGGGCCUUGUACACACCGCCCGUCAAGCCAGCCGAAUUGAGUGCUCCCUAAGACGCUGCUCCAACCCUUCGGGGAGGAAGGUGUCCAAGGAGUGCUUGGUAAGGGGGACU
Molecule: ribosomal RNA, 1455 nt
Filed under: uncultured prokaryote
Description: partial 16S ribosomal RNA
Rfam family: Bacterial small subunit ribosomal RNA
Source: RNAcentral